UGGGGAAUAUUGGACAAUGGGCGAAAGCCUGAUCCAGCCAUGCCGCGUGUGUGAAGAAGGUCUUCGGAUUGUAAAGCACUUUAAGUUGGGAGGAAGGGCAUUAACCUAAUACGUUAGUGUUUUGACGUUACCGACAGAAUAAGCACCGGCUAACUCUGUGCCAGCAGCCGCGGUAAUACAGAGGGUGCAAGCGUUAAUCGGAAUUACUGGGCGUAACGCGCGCGUAGGUGGUUUGUUAAGUUGGAUGUGAAAUCCCCGGGCUCAACCUGGGAACUGCAUUCAAAACUGACUGACUAGAGUAUGGUAGAGGGUGGUGGAAUUUCCUGUGUAGCGGUGAAAUGCGUAGAUAUAGGAAGGAACACCAGUGGCGAAGGCGACCACCUGGACUAAUACUGACACUGAGGUGCGAAAGCGUGGGGAGCAAACA
This 427-nucleotide ribosomal RNA is filed under the name uncultured bacterium. RNAcentral's name for it is "partial 16S ribosomal RNA". It matches the Rfam family "Bacterial small subunit ribosomal RNA", at positions 355 to 774 of the family's 1533-position model. The record is from RNAcentral.